This 946-nucleotide long non-coding RNA is filed under the name Cottoperca gobio. RNAcentral describes it as "lncRNA (ENSCGOG00000001689.1)". Lineage: Eukaryota; Metazoa; Chordata; Actinopteri; Perciformes; Bovichtidae. The record is from RNAcentral.
CAGCUCACGUAGCGCCCCAGCAGGAUGUAAGUGAAACAAACAUGUACCAAACUUUGAUGAAGCAAAGAGCAUCCAGUGUGGAGGAGUCAUCAUGUCUCUGUCGGUGCUGUUUGGUGCUCUGAGGACCAGAGAGCUGCGAGAGCUGCUGGAAGAUGAAGACAAAAUAAAUCACUUCGUCAGGUGCAGUGUCAAGUUUCAGGGGCUGCAGAGCGAUGCAGAGAAGAUGCUGGUUUCAAAUAAAACAUUAGCCAAACUCGGUCUUUCUCAAAAACCUAAAUUUAGAGAUGCUAAAUUGCUCCUUGCAGUGAAGUACAAGGAACUGGAAAACAUAAGAAGCAUCAUCCAGGCCAAACAAGAACAACUUGCAGAAAAAUUCAGUGUUCAUCGUGCACAGUGGAGUCUCCUAAAGAAGAUAAAUAAUGCAGAGGAGGAGUGUGAGGUGCUGUUUCAGAGGUUUGCAGAGGGGAAGACUCCACUGGCAGAUUUCCUGGCUUUCUUUCUCGGCUCGCAGAAACUCCAACACAUCAGGAUGGUCCUGGUGAAGAAAAUGCAGAAAAUGAUUGAAUUUGAAUCAACACAAAGGCUUUGUGAGAUUCCCCCUGACACUCAUAACGCCUGCCUCCCAGUCUGCAGUCUAACCACAGCUGUCGUCUUACCUGCCUGCUGCCACCCUCCAUUCCUGCUGCCCUGCGGUGUCCACGUGAACACUGCUCACUGUUUACAGCAUUUACCAUUUUGUCAUGAUUACAAUGAGUCCCUACGUCCAGCAGUGUACGGACGAGGCCACAAAUGGUCAGCAAGACCCGUCCGUCUCCAGCCUCUGAAGGUGCAGCAGAGGAGGCAUCAACAUGCUCCACAAUAAAGUCUAAUCCAGCCUCAGAUACAUGUUUACAUUUCAUUAAAGUUAACAAAGUGGAAGUAGUUUCUGGGUAAAGUUGCCUUUGCA